GAUGAAGAACGUAGCGAAAUGCGAUAAGUAAUGUGAAUUGCAGAAUUCAGUGAAUCAUCGAAUCUUUGAACGCACAUUGCGCCCGUCAGUAUUCUGGCGGGCAUGCCUGUUCGAGCGUCAUUACGCCCCUCAAGUCCCCUGUGGACUUGGUGUUGGGGAUCGGCGAGGCUGGUUUUCCAGCACAGCCGUCCCUUAAACUAAUUGGCGGUCUCGCCGUGGCCCUCCUCUGCGCAGUAGUAAAACACUCGCAACAGGAGCCCGGCGCGGUCCACUGCCGUAAAACCCCCCAACUUUUUAUAGUUGACCUCGAAUCAGGUAGGACUACCCGCUGAACUUAAGCAUAUCAAUAAGCGGAGGA
RNAcentral lists this unclassified non-coding RNA (358 nucleotides) under soil metagenome. RNAcentral describes it as "partial contains 5.8S ribosomal RNA, internal transcribed spacer 2, and large subunit ribosomal RNA". The stretch from base 1 to 120 matches the Rfam family "5.8S ribosomal RNA", at positions 35 to 154 of the family's 154-position model. The record is from RNAcentral.